This 253-nucleotide ribosomal RNA is filed under the name uncultured bacterium. RNAcentral describes it as "partial 16S ribosomal RNA". It matches the Rfam family "Bacterial small subunit ribosomal RNA", at positions 524 to 776 of the family's 1533-position model. The record is from RNAcentral.
UACGAAGGGGGCUAGCGUUGCUCGGAAUCACUGGGCGUAAAGCGCACGUAGGCGGCUUACUAAGUCAGGGGUGAAAUCCUGGAGCUCAACUCCAGAACUGCCUUUGAUACUGGUGAGCUUGAGUUCGGGAGAGGUGAGUGGAACUGCGAGUGUAGAGGUGAAAUUCGUAGAUAUUCGCAAGAACACCAGUGGCGAAGGCGGCUCACUGGCCCGAUACUGACGCUGAGGUGCGAAAGCGUGGGGAGCAAACAGG